RNAcentral lists this ribosomal RNA (440 nucleotides) under uncultured bacterium. RNAcentral describes it as "partial 16S ribosomal RNA". It matches the Rfam family "Bacterial small subunit ribosomal RNA", at positions 338 to 795 of the family's 1533-position model. The record is from RNAcentral.
CCUACGGGUGGCUGCAGUGGGGAAUAUUGCACAAUGGGGGGAACCCUGAUGCAGCAAUGCCGCGUGGGUGAAGAAGCACUCCGGUGUGUAAAGCCCUGUCAGCCGGGAAGAAAAUGACAGUACCUGGACAAGAAGCACAGGCUACCUACGUGCCAGCAGCCGCGGGCAUACGUAGGGGGCAAGCGUUAGACGGAUUUACUGGGUGUAAAGGGAGCGCAGGCGGCGUGGCAAGUCAGAUGUGAAAACCCGGGGCCCAACCCCGGGAGUGCUCUUGGAACUGCAUGUCUGGAGUACAGGAGGGGCAGGCGGAAUGCCUAGUGUAGCGGUGAAAUGCGUAGAUAUUAGGAGGAACACCAGUGGCGAAGGCGGCUUACUGGACGGUAACUGACGCUGAGGCUCGAAAGCGUGGGGAGCAAACAGGAUUAGAUACCCCAGUAGUC